Molecule: long non-coding RNA, 3233 nt
Filed under: Nicotiana tabacum (common tobacco)
Lineage: Eukaryota; Viridiplantae; Streptophyta; Magnoliopsida; Solanales; Solanaceae
Description: long non-coding RNA (NTAB_LNC014607)
Source: RNAcentral
AGGUUCAAUUCACUUGGGAUUGUUCAUCAAAGCAGUUGUUCAUAUACUCCACAACAGAAUAGAGUAGUGAAAAAGAAGCACAUACCCAUCCUUGAUGUGGCUAAAGCACUCAAGAUACAAAGUAAUAUGCAAUCAAAUUCUGGGGAGAAUGCAUUAGGACAGCAGUAUACCUAAUCAACAAGAUACCUACAGAUGUCCUAAAUAAAAGAUCUCCUUAUGAAUUAUUAUAUAGUAAACAACCAAGUAUAUAUCAUUUGAGUGUAUUUGGUUGUUUGUGCUAUGCUAGUACCCUACCUAGAGGAGGUAAGUUUUCUCCUAGAGCAAGGAGGACACUAAUGAUAGGGUACUCAAAGACACAAAAAGGGUACAAACUAUCUGAUUUAAAAUCUAACAUUUUCUUUGUCAGUAAGGAUGUAAACUUUAGAGAUGAUGUCUUUGCUUUUCAAGGUGAAGAAGCAUGUUAUGAGGAUUAGUUCACUCUUGUUCUAGUAGACUUGAACACUAGUUCACCAAGAACAAAUGUUGAUGAUGCCCUGUUACAACUCAGGAAGACUUAAGCAAUGAAAGUAUGAAUGAAGAGGCAAUCCCUUCUAUUCUCCCUCAACCAAGCCACACGGCAACAAAUUCAUCAGAUAUAGACCUGGAUGAGUCAUCAGGAGAAAAUGUAGAUAUGCCAAAUGCAUUAGAAGAUGUUGUAGCUGAACCUCUAGCAAUUAUGGAAGAAACUGAAGCAGGUUUGCAAGAGCAGCAAACACCAACUCAAUAGUUGCAGUCAUUUGAACCUGUUGAUAAUGCAGAAGCUCCCACUGUUAGGAAAUCUAUCAGAGGUACAAAACCAUCAAUUUGGCUCAAAGACUAUUUUACUUGAUGGAAACAUCAUGACACAUUGCCUAUCUAAUCUUUCAUUAUGACAAUUACACGCAUUUUCCACAACACUACCAAGCAUAUCUCACUAGUUUAUUUGCCCUUAUAAAACCAAAGAUUUUCUAUGAAGCCUCUAUAGAUGAGAAAUGGAUUAAAGCUAUGCAAGAAGAAAUUCAAGCACUUGAAACUAACAAAACCUGGGAGAUAGUAGAGUUGGCACCAGGAAAGAAAGCAAUUGGCUCAAAGUGAGUGUACAAAAUCUAAUACAAAUCAAAUGGUGAGAUUGAAAGGUUCAAGGCACGCUUAGUGGCUAAGGGUUAUACACAACAGGAAGGUCUUGACUACCAUGAGACCUUUUCACUUGUUGCAAAAAUGAUCACAAUGAGGACUGCGAUUAGCCUUGCAGCCUCUAAGGGUUGGAAGUUAUUCCAAAUGGAUGUAAAUUUUUUGCAGCGUGAUAUUUGAAAAGGAAAGCAGUUGAAUUAUGUCAAGUGCCAACUAAGGAAUAUGUCAACUAAGGAAAGAAGUUAAAUCCAAUAUUCUGAAUGAAGCCAACAAGGAAACAAAUAAACGUUUAUUUAUAUAUAUGGACAGAUAGAUUCUCCCUGACUAAUUCAAGCCAUUGAAAACUCUUUUCCAAUUCCUCUCUUGUAGCCGUUGGGUCUGCCUUGAAAUUACUUUUCCUUGCCUUUUUCAUUUCCAAUCUCUUGUGUAUAUAAUAUGAUAUCUUUUAUGUUAGAAAAUACAGAACAUGAAUGAGAUUAUUCUAUGUUCAAAUCUCUUCAUGUUAUCAGAGCCCUCACAUGAGAUUGGAACAAGCAAAACUCUCAUGGCCAAUUCUAACCAACUAGUGCAAGAACCCUCUAUUUCUCAUCAAACAUUGCACUAGUGUACUAGUCUCAUCUCAUUGAAACUAGACACUUCAAACUUCUCACUUUGGCGUUCUCAAAUAGAACCUUUGAUUCAGAGCAUUGGAAUAGAACAUCACCUUACCAAUGAAAGCAAACCGGAAAAAGAAAUCACUGGGACGAUAGAAAGGCUGCUCCAAAUCCGCAGUACCUUACCUGGAUCAACAAUGAUGACUUGCUAAUAUCUUGGUUACUAAAAAAUACAGAGAUAGAGGUUCUAAUGUUGGUGGAAAACAUCUAAAUGGCACAUCAGGUAUGGCAAUCUAUUGAGAAUCAGAUUCUCCCUACUACGAUUGAAAAAGAACAACUUUUGAAUGAAAAAUUGAUAUCCCUUAAAAAGGGAAACAUGUCUCUUGAUAAAUACCUUAAGAAUUUCAAAGGCUUAUGUGAUAGCUUAGCUGCAAUUAAAAAGCCCAUGGAAGAUACAAGUAAAACAUUUCGACUAGCUAGGGGUCUUAGUGCUAAAUAUAAGGAUUUUUGAACUGCUAUGUUAGCAAAAGCCCCUUAUCCUACUUAUAAUAAGUUUGUUGUAGCCCUGCAAGCUCAUGAACAGAUGAUGAUUAAUGAAAGCGAGGAGAAAGAUCACUUGCAAACUCACCAUGAACAAGGUUUCGUCGGAUAAAGAGGAAGAUGACGACAUCGUGGUGGAGGAAGGUUUAACUCGAGAGGACGAGGCUUUGCUCCAGCAGCGCGCCAUGGUAAUUACAGUGCUAGGCCAAAUUUCAAUGAUAAAAUACCAUACCAACCAAAGGCAACUAAUUAUAGUGUCGAUUCGCGUCAACAAAAAGAAAGAACAAGCUAUCAUUUGCCAAAUUUGCGGUAAGAUGAAUCACUCAGCCUUGGAAUGUGGGAAUCGGUUUGACCAUUCUUUUCAACCCGAAGACCAAAUUCCUAAGGCCCUUGCUGCAAUGAAACUAGAACAUGAAGAUUCUUCACUCUAUGCCGAUUCAGGAGUGACAACUCACAUCCUAAACAAUCUAGGUAAACUUGCCAAAACUACUCCAUAUAAGGCAAUGAAUCUAUAUUUGUAGGAAAUGGUGAAAGCCUUCCCAUUUAUCAUAUUGGUGAAGGACAACUAAAAACCAAAAAUGGUAGCUUAAGUCUGAAAAAUGUUCUCAUUGUUCCUGAUAUAAAGAAAACUUUACUCUCUGUUGGACAAUUGAUCCACGCCAAUCCUUGUUUCGUUGAAUUUUUUGCUGAUGAUUUUGUGGUUAAGUCUCAACAGGGCAGAAUACUUGCUAAAGGAUGCAAAAAAGGAGGACUUUAUGCUCUUGGAUAAAUAAAUCAACAAGCUCUCCUUGCCUAUAAGAAUAAAGCUUCAUAAAAUAUUUGGCACAAAAGGAUGGGACAUCCCUAUUUACGAUAUCUAAAGAUUCUAAAGUCAAAAUACUUGAUACAUAACUCAGAUAAGAUGUCCGAAUCAAGCCUGCCUGCUGGUUGUAGCAAUUAACAUAGGCAGAU